RNAcentral lists this long non-coding RNA (1066 nucleotides) under Homo sapiens (human). Its description in RNAcentral is "HSALNT0309834". Lineage: Eukaryota; Metazoa; Chordata; Mammalia; Primates; Hominidae. The record is from RNAcentral.
AGCUGUUCUUCCCCUCUGCUGACUUUAUGUGGAGUAAAGGGCUACUCCAGCUGAGGAAAAAUGCCAAUAAAGGAGAUGAAAACAGCCAGAAAUUGUAUAUACUUAUCAUGUACAACAUGAUGCCCUGAAAUAUGUCUACACUACGGGAUGGCCAAAUUGAGGCAAUUAACAUAUGCAAGACCUCACAAACUUCAAAUUUUUUGUGGUGAGAACACUUAAAAUCCACAAAAAUUAGUAAUGUUCAGAAAUACGGAUUCAAGGAACCCAUGCAAGAGUUCAAGCUGAGAGAGAGGGAGAGAGAAGCUCCUACUUUAUGAAAUCCUGGCCCAGUCUCUACUUUCCAUAAGAAACUACAGCCUUGAAAACGAAGCUGCUUGCUCAAGGCCACAGACCUGAUUUGUGCAGGGGUGAGACUAAUAUCCGGCAUGGCUCCCAGUCCAACAGAUUACAGUGCAAAUUCUUCAAGACUAAAAAACAUAAGACUAUAUUUACAGGGAUUAUUUCUACAGUUCAUUACUAGAGAAGUUUCUCUCAGGAUGUAGAGCAGAAAAGAUAUAUUAAAAAUGACUGUGAAGGAAUAGUUGUCAAGAAAAAAUGAAAAGUAUUAAAAAGAUUAAAAACAAACAAAAAACUGAUUUAAAGAACUGUAAAUCCAUGCAUUAUGAAUUCACUCUUUCAUCCAUUUUAUUUCAGUUAUUGUAUUUUUCACUAAAAUUCCCACUUCUUUAUAUCUUCUGUUUUCUUGCCAAGACUUUCUAUAUUUCCAUCUGUUUCAAGAGUAGCUUUACUUCUUGGACUAUUUUAAUAAUAGGGGCUUUAUAAAGUUUUAUUUAUUUUUUAACUGUAGCCUUAACAAAUUUCCACAAACUUAGCAGCUUAAAAUAACAGCCUUUUAUUAUCUCACAGUGUCUACGGGUUAGAAGUUUGAGUGUAAUGUAACUCACCAGAAUUCUCUGCUUAGGGUCUCAAAAGGUCUAAGUCAAGGUGUCAGCUGACCUGGGGUCUUAUGUGGAUUUCCUUGGGGGAGAAUACACUUACAGGCUCAUUCAAGUCUGUGUGGGUAGAG